GACGAACGCUGGCGGCGUGCUUAACACAUGCAAGUCGAACGGAAAGGCCCUGCUUUUGUGGGGUGCUCGAGUGGCGAACGGGUGAGUAACACGUGAGUAACCUGCCCUUGACUUUGGGAUAACUUCAGGAAACUGGGGCUAAUACCGGAUAGGAGCUCCUGCUGCAUGGUGGGGGUUGGAAAGUUUCGGCGGUUGGGGAUGGACUCGCGGCUUAUCAGCUUGUUGGUGGGGUAGUGGCUUACCAAGGCUUUGACGGGUAGCCGGCCUGAGAGGGUGACCGGCCACAUUGGGACUGAGAUACGGCCCAUACGCCAACGGGAGGCAGGAGUGGGGAAUAUUGCACAAUGGGCGGAAGCCGGAUGCAGCAACGCCGCGUGCGGGAUGACGGCCGUCGGGUUGUAACCCGCUUUCGCCUGUGACGAAGCGUGAGUGACGGUAAUGUGUAAAGAAGCACCGGCUAACUACGUG
Molecule: ribosomal RNA, 468 nt
Filed under: uncultured bacterium
Lineage: Bacteria
Description: partial 16S ribosomal RNA
Rfam family: Bacterial small subunit ribosomal RNA
Source: RNAcentral